Hirundo rustica (Barn swallow) is the source of this 6208-nucleotide long non-coding RNA. RefSeq lists it as uncharacterized. The record is from RefSeq and is a predicted model, not a curated record. Lineage: Eukaryota; Metazoa; Chordata; Aves; Passeriformes; Hirundinidae. The transcript has 6 exons.
GGUGCCUGGGGCGGGCGUUUCGACUUUUCUGUUUUGGGGCUGCUCCUUCAGGCUUCGGUGUGAUGUAACUCAAACUGUGCCUACCUUCUCAGCGCGUUAACCAAGUCAGGAAUUUUACACCUUACCCUGAGGAGUUAGGAAGAGGCGCACAAAACUGAUUCCAUCACUGUACGAAAAUUCAGGUUUCAUUCGGGAAGAAGCCCUUCCCACCCACGGAGACAAGCAGAGUGAAGGCACAGGCAUUCUGAGGCAGUGCUCGCAGAAAACCCAUCGCAGAAAAUCCACAAAUAUUAAGCAGCAGUUUGGCCUCUGGCCCUUGAGCUGCCAGCAACACGCUGCACUCGCUGCUCCCUGUCACACGGCGGCAUUGGAGGAGCAGUUUGCGAAACCUGGGCUGAUUUCAAAGCCCCAAAAACAUCUCUUUGCCAAUCAGACCCCGCAGCCUUUUGGCACUUUUGAGGUGGAAAGGCGGUGCCAGGUCUGGGUGAUUUUGUUUCAGUCUCAGCCGGCACUGGGGACACUGUGUGAGAACGCCUUGACAACGUCAAUUCUGAGAGAAAAAGCAUCCCUGCUUGGCUGGUGUUUCCCUGCAAGCAGAAGAGCCCAGGCCCGAGGCUGCCUGGCGUUUGUGUGACCCACAAACCCCCUUCGGCGCUGGUGUCACCUGCCCUGGGCACAGUCACCACAGCUGCCCAGAGCCAGGAGCGUCCAGCUGAGGCGUCCAGCAGGAUGCAGCUCUUGUUUUCAAGGAGGCAUGAAAUUGGAACGUGACCAUGCCCACAGUGCAUUGUGGGUCGAGUUCAAGGAACUGCUGAAAUGACAAGUUGCAGCAGCAACUUGCCUUUGUGUGUAGAACCAGCUGUAAUGCUGGCAGCCGCUUGUGAGCUGAGAAAAGAACAUCAGGAGCCUGGAAACAACUCCCAGAAAUUUGUUAAAAAAAUGGGACGGACUUCUUUCCCCAAGUGUCUGAAAAACUCUUCUGGCUUUACUUUAUAAAUUGAAAACUGAAGUGCUUGCAAAGGUGUUGGCAUUUGCUUUAAUGUAUUCUUGGUGAGGUUUUGAUUCCGUGCUGUUAUUGGAGCUGCUGUUGGCUGGAACGGGUGUUCCCAAUUCGCCUGUAAGGACAUGGCUUCAUUCCCUGCUUCUCACAGCCUGUACAGUAGAUGGAAUUCCAGUGGUACCUCAUAGAUGGCUUGUGGUGUUCCUUAAAGGAGCGUUUCUGCCUGCAGUGACAGUUCUGGUCCCUCAUGAGCUGGUGUGAGGGUCUGCAGCAGCAGGUUUGGAACGAUGUUCCUGCGGCACAGAUUCCUCCCUGGCAGGUUAUCGGGCCUGAGGCAUUGGCUGACAGUAGCAAAGCACUGACAGGGUCUUAGUUGUGCAAAAUACUUCAUUGGAAAUCCAGUCUGGGGAUGUUGUGGCUCCAGAAAGAGCUCUGUGACCCUUUCCAUGCCCUGUGCUGGCAUGGCACAGCAGGCCCUGGGGCUCAAGCAGAUCCACGGCUUGUUCCAAAGGGACAGUGAACUGGUACAAUGUGCACUGGACGGAGGAAGUUGGAUGUGAAGAUUUGGGUCAUUCUGGAAAGUUCCUUGAGCCCUAAGAAUCUUGGCAAGUGUAGCACUAAAAACUCCAAAUUAGGAAUAAUCAAAAGAUGAACCAGUUCUCAACAAACUCAACUUUCAAAAUUAUUUUUCAAGAUAAAAUAAGAUUAAAAUGAGCUUGGCAGAAAAGCCCCCAUGAAGCAAAGCACAAUGAAAAUACCUGUGAGCAGAAACAGUAUGGCAUUCCUGCUGCUCCUGAUGCCCUGGUCUUUUCAGGCAGGUUUUGUAUGGAAUUGAAAGGCAGCUUUCUUGCCUCUGGUGAGCUGCAGCCACAUCCCCAUUGAAGAAGAAAAUGUGGAGGGAGUGCCAAGCAGGAAGAUGGCUUUUAGGCCACUGCAACAGUUGCUGCAAAAGAAGGAAAAGGAAUCCAGUGACCUGGAAUUGGAUGCCCCAAGCCCCUGCCGAGCACAGGGCUUGCUGCUUGAUGUUUUUUCUCUGCAGUGCUUGUCCUGUACUGUCUUCAGGGAUUGUUCCUGGCUGUUCUGUCCCAAAUAAUGCUGGAGGAAGAGGCCAAAGCUCCCACUGUGGCUGUGGAGGAUUUGCCUGCAGUGACUUGCUGGUGGAGCAAGGACCUGUUGCUGCAAAGGGAGCAUAGCUGGAUGAAUCCUCUCCAGUCACCAGGCAUUGUCCCCAGAUGUCCCACUCUGCUGCUGUACCUUGGAACAGUCAUUUAAUUUGACCCAGCUGUGCCAAAACCUUUGGUUUUGGUUGGGUUUGAGCAGCCAAACCCUAGAGCCUCCAGCCCUGAUGGCCUGUGCUGGAGGACACCUGGUCCUGCACAUGCUGUGGGGUAUUCCCUGAUGUUGUUUCACCUGCCUGAAUUCCUUGCAGCUCCGAGCUGAGAAAACCUGGCAUAACUCAGAGGGGAGAGAGGUGACACCUUUGGCUGAAAACCUGCUUUCAUUUAGAAGGGACCCAACAUGUGUUUGUGUAGGAAAAUGUGAGGGGAUGUGGAGGGGAGCGAGGUGGCAUUUUGAGGGAGUCACUUAGGAGAGAGAACGCAGAUUUUGGGGCAGAAAGGAGGAAAUCAGUAGUGUACAGGAAAGAAAGUUUGGGAGGUAAAACAUGGAGUAAUCUUUAGGAUAGAGAAUGAUCAACUUAUUGUAAAAAAUGAGAGCAUGAGUAAAGAAGGGAAAUUUAUGGGGAAAAGCUUGAGGUACUUUCUGGGGGAGAGAAUGAAUAUUUUGAGGGAAAGAUGAUGUAAUCAGAAGUGGCACGCAGGGAAUAAUUUGGGAGUAAACUUGAGGUACUCUAUAUUGGCAGAGAAUGGAGAUUUUGAGGGGAAAAUGAGCUAAUCAGAAGUGGACAGAGAGGGAAUAGUUUGGGGGUAAAACCUGGGCAAUCUCUAGGGGAGAGAAUUAACAUCUUGAGGUAAACUGAGGUAUAAGUAGUGCAAAGGUAGCGAUAUACUGGGGGGUAAAACUUGAGAUACUCAUCUCCAGGGCAGAGAAUAAAUACUUUGAGGUAAAACUGUGGUAAAUCAGUAGUGGACAGCUAGCAAAAAUCUUGGUGAAGUUUGUGAUAACUUCUAGCAGAGUAAAUGAAAGUUUUGAGUUGAGUUAGGUAAUCAGUAGUACACAUUAGGGAAGUAUUUGUGCCUAAAAACUGAGAUAACCUCCAGGGCAGAGAAUGAACACUUUGAGGUGAACAGACGGAAUCAGUAGUGGACAGGCACAGAAAACUUUAGGGGUAAAAUUGAGGUAAUCUGUAGAGGAGAGAAAACAACAUUUCCAGGUAAAUAUGAGGUAAAAAGUACUGGACAGGUAGGGAAAAUUUCAGGGAAAAAUCAUGAGGUAAUCCAUAGUGGAUAGAAUGAAUAUUUGGGAUAGGAUAGAGGUAAUUGGUGGGGGGUUUUGGUGGAAAAAUAGAAAUAAUCUAUAGGAACAAAAGGAAUGUUUUGGAGUUCAAAUGUGAGUUAACCUGUAGAGGAGAGACUGCAAAUCCUGAGGUAAAAAUGAGGUGGUCAUUAGCAGAUAGGCAUGGAAAAAUUUGGGAUUAAAAUUUGAGGUCACAUAGGGGAGGGAAUGAGCACUGUGAGGUCAAAUGAGGUAAUUAAUAGGAGCAGGUAGGAAAAAGAGAUAAUCAGUAGUGUACUGGUAAGGUGAAGUUUUGGCUUUAAAAAUCGAGAUAAUCUGUAAGGAACAAAGAACAUUUGGGUGAAUAACCUGAACUAAUCUGUAAGGCACAGAAUGAAUACUUUAGGACUGAGGAUAGAGGUAGAUACUGGGGGGUUUGGUGCUAAAAUCUAAGUCAUCCAUAGGGGACAGGAUUAACAUUUUGAGGGUAAAACUUGAGGUAAUUUGUAAUGGACUGAAUGAACAUUUUGAGGGAAAAAGGAGGCUGUCAGUGGUGAAAAUGUCAGGAUAAUUUUGGGGUAAAACUUGAGCUGCUCUGUGAAGUACAAUGAAUAUUUUGGUGGGGGGGGGAAAUGUCAGGCCGUCUGUAGGGGCCAGUCCUAGUCUGUGCCCUCAGCAGUGGGGGGAAUAAUUCCUCCCUGGAGAGCACUGUCUGGCAGAGGGGUCACACACAGGGUCUGGCUUUUCUCUUGUGCUCAGUCCAGCAGUCUCUGGAUGUCACAGCUCCCCACGCCGGGGUCUGUCCUGUAAAUGUGCUCAAACAGGGUUUAACCGCACUGGCCCAAGCUGUGCCGGCACAGACUGGGGCCAGAGGUGAAGGUCAAUCCAAAACAAAUCCUGCUCGACCUCUAAAUCCCAGGCUAAGUUCUACAAACUGCCAAGUGAGGGAAUAAAAACACAAAAACAUGGAACCAAGAGCAUGAUGAGGUUCCUGGGAAUCCAUUGCAUUGUUUUCAUAGACUUUUUCACAGGUUUUGAAGCUUUUUAUGCCAACAAUGCAUUUCCUCCUUUAGGGAGGUUAUUCACUCUGUAGGAUUCGGGGUUUAUGGGGAUUUCAGCUCCCACACGGUGGCCCUGACGCUGCCCAGGAGCUGGUAGGAAAAGCAGUCAGAGCUCCUGACACGUGCAGGUGUUUUCCCUCAGACUGGACAGUGGGAUCUGCUUUGGGUCCUUACGGAACCUGCUGGAAGUAGAGAAGCAGAACCCCAAAUCUCCACACUGGGUGGAGUUGUGGAACCUAAACCGGCACAAAGAGAUGCUCCAAAAUGACCCGUGAGAGAACAGGACCAAAAAAGGGUCACUGUCACUAUGGUAAGGCAAAAGGAAUUGGACCUAUAGCCCAGGAUUCCAUGCUGAGCCUGGAAGAGCCUCUCAGUGCUUCAUGGAGCAUGGAUAUUCCCAUGCAGAGCUGCUGCUUUUACACAGGUUUGUCAGGAACAAACAAGCAUCAAUCCAGAGAAGUUCAGUGGGAUCAGGACAAGGACAUGUCUGUAUUCCAUAGAAUUUUAUUCAUAACCCUCGUCCCCCAGCCCUGCUGGUGUCCUUGUGGGGGAUUUUACUGCGUUCCUUGGAAUUGAGCUGGUUCUCACCCACUCUGAGGUCAGGCUCCAGCUGAUAUUUUAAAGCAGGAGAAGGCGGUGGCCAGAUGCGCUCCUGGCCCGUGCUGAGGCAUCUUCUGUGCCCAGGUGAGGACAUCCCUGAUUUUGGGUGUGUUUUGGGUAUCAUCAGUGUGAUGCUUUGUGCAGACCCUGCAAGUGCUGUCCUGCUCCCAGUCCAAGCAGGUUCUGGUUCCCAGCUGCUCCCUGUGUCCGUGCCGAACCAGCAUCCCAGAGACACAACAGGCACCUACAACACUCCAAGCAGAGGAUUUUUUCCCAACGGGAAGCGUGGAUUUCAAGGUGUGAGAGAUAUUUAUAUUUCCAGCGUGGAUCGACUCCAACCCUCCCCGCCCACGGCGCGUCCGACUGCAAUAAUUAAUUUAUGUCCGUCCCCACCUUGUCCCAGCCCAGCCGGCCGCGCUCUCCCGGCACGUCGCUGUAAAGUACUCGUGUACAGGAGUGAGAACUGCAGAUAUUUAUUAAAAGUGGGUUCCUGACAGUAUUUUAUGUACUAAAUAUUUACGCUGAGGGCAGGUGACUUCCUUUUGCCGAGGUCAAAUCAGGAGACGGAUUUAGAUGCUGUGUCAUAUGGAUAGAAUGGAAAUCAAAGCUGCUCAACUGCUGUAGAGAAAUUGUUGAUCUUAUUCGUUAAAAAAGGGUUUUUAUCGCAGGUCUCUCUCAUUUCUCAGCGGUCAUCGAAGUUUCACGUGCAAUUGCUGCUCUCCUGUAAAAAGUCCCCAGGAUCGAGCCAUUGAAUGCUGUGAGGGGACCGGGGCCCCAGACAACGUCCUGGGAGCCCUGUGGGUGCCUCGGAGGAAAUAAGGGUGGCACUGGCUGGCAGCAGAGGUUUCCAGCCCUGGGGCCUCCAGACAGGACGGGCACCCCAUGCAGGAGCACUAUAAAUGCACAAAGAAGUGACAGUAAAACAGACCUUCCACAUCCCGAUGCUUUCCCUGCUUUGACUCGUGGCAGCAUCCGGUUUUGGCAUUUUUGUUUCCUCUUUUUUAGCCGUUUCUGUCCCAGGCAGGACCUUUCCCGACUGGAAAUAAAGAUGAAAUAUUUUAACGGGAUUUUUCAAAAUGGAAGUUUUGCCAUUGGAGAGUGUGAGUUGCAGAGAAAUUGAGGGAGAGGAAGGAGACCAUCAAGUCUCACCUGG